ACCUGGCUGGCUCAGUUGGUAGAGCAUGUGACUCUUGAUCUCAGGGUCAUGAGUUAAAGCCCCAUGUUGGAGG
RNAcentral lists this transfer RNA (73 nucleotides) under Ailuropoda melanoleuca (giant panda). It matches the Rfam family "tRNA". From Rfam's summary of the family: Transfer RNA (tRNA) molecules are approximately 80 nucleotides in length. Their secondary structure includes four short double-helical elements and three loops (D, anti-codon, and T loops). Lineage: Eukaryota; Metazoa; Chordata; Mammalia; Carnivora; Ursidae. The record is from Rfam by way of RNAcentral.